RNAcentral lists this ribosomal RNA (1376 nucleotides) under Rickettsia endosymbiont of Columbicola hoogstraali. RNAcentral's name for it is "partial 23S ribosomal RNA". It matches the Rfam family "Bacterial large subunit ribosomal RNA", at positions 1574 to 2925 of the family's 2925-position model. The record is from RNAcentral. Lineage: Bacteria; Pseudomonadati; Pseudomonadota; Alphaproteobacteria; Rickettsiales; Rickettsiaceae.
UCACUACGGUGGUGAAAGAAUUGAUGCUACGCUUCCAGGAAAAGCCUCUAAGCUCCAGGUCACAUCGAAUCGUACCCUAAACCGACACAGGUGGUCAGGUAGAGAAUACCCAGGCGCUUGAGAGAACUCGGGUGAAGGAACUAGGCAAAAUGGUGCCGUAACUUCGGGAGAACGCACGCUGGUAUGUAGGUGGAGGGCUUUGCGCCCCGAGCUGAAGCUAGUCGCAGAUACCAGCUGGCUGCAACUGUUUAUUAAAAACACAGCACUGUGCAAACACGAAAGUGGACGUAUACGGUGUGAUGCCUGCCCGGUACCGGGAGGUUAAUUGAUGGGGUUAUCGCUUAUGAGAAGCUCUUGAUCGAAGCCCCGGUAAACAGCGGCCGUAACUAUAACGGUCCUAAGGUAGCGAAAUUCCUUGUUUGGUAAGUUCCGACCUGCACGAAUGGCGUAAUGAUGGCCAGGGUGUCUCCACUCGAAACUCAGUGAAAUUGAACUCACUGUGAAGAUGCGGUGUACCUGCGGCAAGACGGAAAGACCCGUGAACCUUUACUAUAGCUUGAUACUGAACAUUAAGCCUUGAUGUGUAGGAUAGGUUGGAGGCUUUGAAGUGUGGACGCCAGUCUACAUGGAGUCAACCUUGAAAUACCAUCCUUUAAUGUUUGAUGUUCUAACUCAGGCCCGUCAUCCGGGCUGAGGAUAGUGUCUGGUGGGUAGUUUAACUGGGGCGGUCUCCUCCUAAAGAGUAACGGAGGAGCACGAAGGUUAGCUAAUCACGGUUGGAUAUCGUGAGGUUAGUGUAAAAGCAUAAACUAGAUUGGCUGCGAGAGUGACGGCUCGAGCAGGUGCGAAAGCAGGUCUUGGUGAUCCGGUGGUUUUGUAUGGAAGGGCCAUCGCUCAACGGAUAAAAGGUACUCCGGGGAUAACAGGCUGAUACCGCCCAAGAGUUCAUAUCGACGGCGGUGUUUGGCACCUCGAUGUCGGCUCAUCACAUCCUGGGGUUGAAGUAGGUCCCAAGGGUAUGGCUGUUCGCCAUUUAAAGUGGUACGCGAGCUGGGUUUAGAACGUCGUGAGACAGUUCGGUCCCUAUCUGCCGUGGACGUUGGAAGAUUGAGAGGGGCUGCUCUUAGUACGAGAGGACCGGAGUGGACGCACCGCUGGUGUUCGGGUUGUCAUGCCAAUGACAUUGCCCUGUAGCUACGUGCAGAAGAGAUAAUCGCUGAAAGCAUCUAAUCGGGAAACUUGCUUCGAGAUGAGUCUUUCCUGAGGUCUAGAGCCUCCUGAAGGGACGUUAAAGAUGAUGACGUUGAUAGGUCGGGUGUGUAAGCGCUGCGAGGCGUUGAGCUAACUGAUACUAAUGACCCGUGAGACUUAACCUU